Molecule: long non-coding RNA, 604 nt
Organism: Pangasianodon hypophthalmus (striped catfish)
Lineage: Eukaryota; Metazoa; Chordata; Actinopteri; Siluriformes; Pangasiidae
Exons: 3
Source: RefSeq, a predicted model, not a curated record
AAUCAGGUUCCUGUUUGUGGGGAGGAAUCGUCCACCUCACAGAUCCUUCUGAAUCUCUGUCCACUGAGCCACUGCAGUAACAACAUUGGAGUCUAGAUGGAACAAGUUAAAAAGGCAGAAGCAUCUAUUUUCCCCCUGGACAACAAGAGGACACAGAACAGAGAAGGAGACGAGACAUUUUGGCUUUCAGGGAACCAAAGCAGGUGUCCGUUCCUGCUUAUGUGUUCCUGAUGCCCAGCGCUUGCUCCAGCUCCUGUCUCCUCUGCUGGACCUGGAAUGAAUAAAACACAUCAGUUAUUUCAGGGGAAAACACAAAUAAAGCCUAUGUAUGUAAACCUAAAACCUAGUUAAGUCUUCAAAGUGAAGCCUGAGGAGACUUUUUUCAUAACUGCACUCUGAUAAGCUAUUCAGGUUCGAGCCCUAUUUGGAUGGUAUUAGCAGUCCAUGAAGAGGUGGAAUAAUGAGAUCUGUUACAGGUACUACCAAUUGAUUUUAUUUUCCUUGUUAUUUUCCUUCUUUCACCUUGAGAAAAUUCACACACUGUUGACUUGACUGACUCAAGGCCAGGCUAAAAUGUAGUCCUGCCUGAAUAAACACUACUUAU